Molecule: ribosomal RNA, 253 nt
Filed under: uncultured bacterium
Lineage: Bacteria
Description: partial 16S ribosomal RNA
Rfam family: Bacterial small subunit ribosomal RNA
Source: RNAcentral
UACGUAGGGUGCGAGCGUUGUCCGGAAUUAUUGGGCGUAAAGAGCUCGUAGGCGGUUUGUCGCGUUGUUCGUGAAAACCGGGGGCUUAACCCUCGGCGUGCGGGCGAUACGGGCAGACUGGAGUACUGCAGGGGAGACUGGAAUUCCUGGUGUAGCGGUGGAAUGCGCAGAUAUCGGGAGGAACACCGGUGGCGAAGGCGGUUCUCUGGGCCUGUACUGACGCUGAGGAGCGAAAGCGUGGGGAGCGAACAGG